RNAcentral lists this ribosomal RNA (253 nucleotides) under uncultured bacterium. RNAcentral's name for it is "partial 16S ribosomal RNA". It matches the Rfam family "Bacterial small subunit ribosomal RNA", at positions 524 to 776 of the family's 1533-position model. The record is from RNAcentral.
UACGAAGGUGGCGAAUGUUGCUCGGAUUCACUGGGCGUAAAGCGUCUGUAGGUGGUUGUGUAAGUUAGAGGUGAAAGCCCCGCGCUCAACGUGGGAAUUGCCUUUAAAACUGCAUAACUAGAAGGUAUGAGAGGAUGGCGGAAUGACUGGUGUAGAGGUGAAAUUCGUAGAUAUCAGUCGGAACACCCAAGGCGAAGGCAGCUAUCUGGCAUAUUCUUGACACUGAGGGACGAAAGCGUGGGGAGCAAACAGG